Chiroxiphia lanceolata (lance-tailed manakin) is the source of this 1006-nucleotide long non-coding RNA. RefSeq lists it as uncharacterized. The transcript is spliced from 2 exons. Lineage: Eukaryota; Metazoa; Chordata; Aves; Passeriformes; Pipridae. The record is from RefSeq and is a predicted model, not a curated record.
UAUCAUAGAAUGGUUUGGGUUGGAAGGGACCUUAAAGAUGUAGUUCCAACCCCUCUGCCAUGAGUAGGGACACCUUUCCCUAGAUUUAUAUUUGUCAUCCCCAAAUUAAAAACCUAACAGCUACUCGGUAAAUUCUUCUGUUCCCAACUCAAUCCAAAGUUUGUACAUUUGAAGAACCAAUACUUACAGCUAAUGAAUAUUCUACUCUAAUAAUGCAGCAGUCAAGUAUAGAGGGGGAUACAGGUGGGAUUUUCAGAGUUUUCCCAUUCCAGGUAUCUGUACUCCCAGAGGCAAUGUGGUUUCCUCGGACAUUGGCAACCAUCUGACGGAAGGUUUUUGUCUUCCCACUGGCCAGCUGGCUUUGAAGGGGGGAGGAGGAGUGGAGGAAGGACCCUCUUACCAAGAGAGCUGGUGAGCUGACGUCGAUAUGGCUGAUGACCUGGAGCUCUGUCUGCACACUCUGAUCAGGAGCUGCAGGCCUCUCCAGGAUGGCUUUCACAUAGUACUGAAUACUGCCAUACUUCCCAGUAAAAGAGGUCACCAGAGGUCUGAAACAAGCAGUCACAAAACCAUUACCCUUAAUUAAUAAUUCAGUUCCAAACGUGAGCACUUCCCGUGUACACGAACGUUUAACCAAUUUACAGCUCGUACUUUUAGGGCCUGGGGGAAACUGAAGCCAACAAGGCCUGUCUGUGGGGUCUGAUUAAGAGAAACAUAUAAAGCUGAUACUAAAAAAAACACAAGUCAAAUUACAUUAAGAUAAUGUUGCACUACAAGCAGUGUCCAGCACAAUCCCUUCAGGUUGGAUUACUUAACUUACUCUUGAGGGAGCUGAAAGCUGAACGGAAAUUCGUGUCUUCCAUCUAGAAGAAUUAAGUUUUCCUCACCUGUAGGAUGAAAAUGAAUAGUAUGUUUUAGUUAUUCCAGAAAUAGAACAAAGCAGAUGCUUUUAUAAGUUAUUUAUUGUAUAAGAACACCCAGAUACCAGAAGUUUUUAUUGAUCCCA